UCUCGCGAAAGAAAAUUUAAUCUUCAGGGCCUCAAAUCAGACAAGAGUACCCGCUGAACUUAA
This 63-nucleotide ribosomal RNA is filed under the name Paraglomus occultum. RNAcentral describes it as "partial 26S ribosomal RNA". The record is from RNAcentral. Lineage: Eukaryota; Fungi; Glomeromycota; Glomeromycetes; Paraglomerales; Paraglomeraceae.